Molecule: long non-coding RNA, 849 nt
Filed under: Panax ginseng (ginseng)
Lineage: Eukaryota; Viridiplantae; Streptophyta; Magnoliopsida; Apiales; Araliaceae
Description: long non-coding RNA (PGIN_LNC001793)
Source: RNAcentral
UUAGCUGCUGGUUUAGCUGUUGCUGGAUUUUAUCAGCUUCUUAAUGCCCUUGAUCUUUAUGUAACUGCUGCAGUCGGUGGUUGAUUGAGCAUGGGCUCGUGCUGCCUGUUCAUGCUGCUUGGUUUCCACUGCUGCUUGGAUGCUUGGAUCUCGUGCUGCUUGGAGUCCACUGCGGUUGGGCUAGUUAGCUGCUAGUUGCGUGCAUAUAAGUGCUGCUUGGAUGCAUGUGGUUGGUUACCACAGCUACUUGGAUGCAUGUUUGUGCUGCUUGGAUUCCUGUCUAGCUGCUUCUCGUCAUGUUGGUUGUUGCAGUGGAGGGCUGCUAAGCUUGGUUCAUAUCUGGUCUGAUUAUAUAUGGAAUCUGCAAAGGGCUGUUGCAGUAGGGGCUCUGGUGUUGUAAGCCAAAUAUUGUACUGCUAGAUGAGAGCUAUUUGUCUUGGCAGUUUAGCUCCUAUUGUCUUGUAGCUAAAAUUUGUAAUAUUCUUCCGGUUGGUUUGAUGCAGAUCUGUUUUUUUCUGGUAUCAAGCCAUUUGAUGGUUGUUUACUGUUGUUUCCUUGUUCCUUGUUGGAUCCCUGUAUGCUAGUGAGUAGCUUUGGUUUACUACUACCAUCAUAGGGCCUGUCCUAUGAUGGCUAUGGUAUACUGGUUGGGUUUGUCCCAUGUUCUUAUUCUUUCUUUUAUUUAAGUCUAAAUUUAGCAAAAAAAAAAAAGAAAGAAGAAAAAAGAACAAGAGUCCUAGCCCUGAUGGGUUUACUGUAAAUUUCUUCCUCCACGCUUGGGACAUUGUUGGGGAGGUCUUCACUGCUGCUAUUCGUUCCUUUUUCAGUCAGGGAUGUCUACUUAGGGGG